AGCAGCCGCGGUAAUUCCAGCUCCAAUAGCGUAUAUUAAAGUUGUUGCAGUUAAAAAGCUCGUAGUUGAAUUUCGGGGUUAGUAGGUUGGUCAUGCCCUGCUGUAUGUACUGGUCUCACUGAUUCCUCCUUCCUGUGAACCGUAAUGCCAUUAAUUUGGUGUUGCGGAAGAUUGGACUGUUACUUUGAAAAAAUUAGAGUGUUUAAAGCAAGCUAACGCUUGAAUACAUUAGCAUGGAAUAAUGAAAUAGGACGUUCGAUCCUAUUUUGUUGGUUUCUAGGAUUGACGUAAUGAUUAAUAGGGAUAGUUGGGGGCAUUAGUAUUCAAUUGUCAGAGGUGAAAUUCUUGGAUUUAUUGAAGACUAACUACUGCGAAAGCAUUUGCCAAGGAUGUUUUCAUUAAUCAAGAACGAAAGUUAGGGGAUCGAAGACGAUCAGAUACCGUCGUAGUCUUAACCAUAAACUAUGCCACUAGGGAUCGGAUGAUGUUAAUUUUUUAAUGACUCAUUCGGCGCCUUACG
RNAcentral lists this ribosomal RNA (520 nucleotides) under uncultured Glomus. RNAcentral describes it as "SSU rRNA". It matches the Rfam family "Eukaryotic small subunit ribosomal RNA", at positions 569 to 1092 of the family's 1831-position model. Lineage: Eukaryota; Fungi; Glomeromycota; Glomeromycetes; Glomerales; Glomeraceae. The record is from RNAcentral.